GUGGGGAAUCUUGCGCAAUGGGCGAAAGCCUGACGCAGCAACGCCGCGUGCGGGAUGACGGCCUUCAAGGUUGUAAACCGCUUUCAGCAGGGACGAAAAUGACGGUACCUGCAGAAGAAGCCCCGGCUAACUACGUGCCAGCAGCCGCGGUAAUACGUAGGGGGCAAGCGUUGUCCGGAUUCAUUGGGCGUAAAGAGCUCGUAGGCGGUUCAGUAAGUCGGGGGUGAAAGCUCCGAGCUCAACUCGGAGAGGCCACCCGAUACUGCUGUGACUUGAGUACAGUAGGGGAGCGUGGAAUUCCUGGUGUAGCGGUGAAAUGCGCAGAUAUCAGGAGGAACACCAGCGGCGAAGGCGGCGCUCUGGGCUGUAACUGACGCUGAGGAGCGAAAGUGUGGGUAGCAAACAGGAUUAGAUACCCCUGUAGUCC
RNAcentral lists this ribosomal RNA (427 nucleotides) under uncultured bacterium. RNAcentral's name for it is "partial 16S ribosomal RNA". It matches the Rfam family "Bacterial small subunit ribosomal RNA", at positions 354 to 796 of the family's 1533-position model. The record is from RNAcentral.